CAACUUCCUUUAUUGCCAGAUUUCUUUUAAGAGUUCUUUAACUGUUCUUCCCUCUUUUAGAAGAAUGAAGUUAUUAGGCUCAUUGUUCAUAAUACAAAACUAGUAGGUAGAUAUUUCCAUAUCAAUAAAUCAUGACUUUCAUCAUAAGUUAUGGAAAAAGUCAUCAGGAAAAUGUAGAGCUAUUGAUGGUGACCCUUUAACUUGACAUGGAAAACAACAUGUAAAUGGACUGCUUCACACAAUCUGCAUAACACACUUGUCAAGAUGUACAAGUCUAUAGCAUGGAAACCUUACACAUGAUGUUCGAUGAUAAUAUUACUUCAAGAAACUAAAGAAAACUAAUCCUGAAUUCUACAAGACUACGUUGUCAAGAAUUCAUUGAAUGCAAUCAAGAAGUUGGAAAUUAAAUUGAAAAAGACAGCAAGUAUUUAUGAGAGGCUUCCACACCAAAUAAAUUGAAUUAAUGUAGAGCUUUUUCCAACACCUAUUGUGUUAGAAUUUCUUGAGCCCAAGUUAUUAAUGACAUCUGUGGGCAAUCUUGUCCCAAGCUAAAUUUAGCAGGCUCAGAUUAUCAUUAAUCAAGUCCAUGAAUAUCUCCAGUUAUAAUAGUACAAAGUAAUGCUUAACACAGCUAAGCUGGACACCUAAGAACAGAUACGUAGGUGAUGAUUUUACAGAAUAACAAGUCAAGGACUCGAGAAAAGGGGAAAAGAGAUACUUUGAGAAUCCACUGAAGCAGAAGUUCCUGAGUACAGUGUUAACUAUGAAGAUAGGCAACUAGAAUUAACAGACUAAACUGAUAAUUCAGAAAGUUUGACAUUGCUUCUUUUGAGCAAAGACUGCAUCAUCCUGUAUUCUAGGGGAUAUACAAGAACAGUAACAAAUUAAUCAGAAAUUUCAGCUGGAUACUAAUCAGAACAGAUUUCCAGUAUGGACAGUAUAGAAAGGACUUUUAAAAUUCUCAACGUUUUUUUCAGCUCAGAGCCAUACCCUCAUCUUUAAAAAUAAGUACUAGUCGAUUGAGACCAGUUGAUUCCCAUUUUGUUGAGACAGAACUCACUAAAUUGGGUUUGUCCUACUGGCUUAGCAGUUGCCCUAGAUACAACAAAACUCAUUAAAUGGGAGAAGAGCCACGUGGAGAGAUACUUUUUCUAAAGGUAUUGCUGACCUUAGCCACUGUCUGAAGCAGUGUCUUAGGACAUUUGUUCAUCAAAUAUCAUAUAGUGUUGUUAAAAGACUGAAGGACUCUUCUUCAGCACCAAAGUGUUAAUUUGGUUUUGGGUUUUUUGGUUUUGGUUUGUUUUUUAAGUACCUUUUUCUUAUUGUUAGGAUCUGGAUUAGGUGAGAAGGAUGAAAUUGAUUGAGUAAGUGGCUCCAGUACCCAGCUGGCUAUAAGCUUGUAGGUGUUAGAAAAUUCUCCCAAAUAGUAUCUGAUCAUCUUGGGCUUAAUUUCUGCCUGACUGAAAGUCUUGCCAUUUUAGACAUCCACCAUACUUCCCACUAUCUUUGGCAGGAUAAUCAUAUGUCAAAGGUGUACCUUCACUAUCUUGGGCUUUCUAUGGGAAGUGUCUCUUUGUUGGCCUUCCUCAGGUAUUUCAGGAUGGAAUGCUGUUUGUGCCACAGACCCUAAUUGAAUCAGUAGUGCUAUCAAGCACUAUACAACUGCAUAAGUUGUUCAUAAAAUAUGUUCAGCAACUUAUCCAGGUCUAUACUGUGGUAGGUGAACUUCGAAAAGGUUUCCUUCUUUUGCUCCAGUUUUGUCAUCUUGUCUACUGUCAGGAAAAAACUGCUUUCCUCAAAUGUUAUUUUGGACUAAAUGUCUAAAUAGUCAAUUAUCACCUUAAAGCACUAUAUAAUUAAAUAUUUUAUAAGGUCAUGUUUAUCGUUGACCCCAUGAAAUUCUUCGAAGGAUUUUGUUUUAUGUUUUGCACCAAUUCUGCUAGGAAGAAAGAAAAGAAAAUAUUCAAUUUGCUAGUAUUAUGAAAUUGUGAUUUGCCUCCAAUCUGGCAGAAAGCUGGAAUCCAGGAAAACCAUUUAGAUAUGUAGUGAACUUACAUAUUUUGAUAAAGGAACAUGCUAUAUUAAUAUAUUCUGAGAUAGAGGAAGUUGAGAUGGGUCUUGGAUAGAUAAUUUCUUCUGGAGAGAGAAACCAUAUAAAUGUGAAAAAUGUGGCAGGCAUCUGAGCCCUGAUACUAAUGCUAAACCUAAAUGGUCUUUAUUAGUCUUUAUAAGUUUGCAUCUUUCUUUAAUAGAAAAUGAUUUUAUCCAAAGAUAAUAGCAGUCAACAGUAAGCUACCUUUAGAAAACCUAAAAUAGAUGCUUGAAAGAAAGCUGCUUCUGGACCCUACAUGUAUUUUCCUAAUGCAGUCUUUUUUUUCUAUGGAAUGAUAGAUUUAACUGGAUUAAAUAAGGCUUUGGAGCAAACGAAUUAAUACUACAAAGGUGAAACAAACACAUAGCUGAAAUUUGAGAUAACUGAUCUGAAGCAUUUACUUUCCAAAAGUAUCUUAGUGAAUUUAGAAACCUCAAACUUUAAACAAUCAGUAAGAGAAAGAAUGAGACUAUAAGGAUAUAACAAUGUAGAACUUUUAAAAAUUACAAAUGUUGAGUGUUUUAUGUAACCUGUACAGUACUUGUACUUCUGUAACUUGUAACCAGAAUGUCAGGAUCUGUUUUGUAUCAUUCUUCUGUUAGCCCCAUGGGGUCAAGGUCUGUAUAGUUUUUGUUUUGUUUUGUUUAAUUCUGUUAAGACAGCAUUCCCUUUUCUCCUCAUCUUGUUCCCCAAAAUUUUAACAUCAGAGAGGUUUGGAGCAGUGAAGAAAAAAUUGGUGUGAUUGUAGACAAUAAGACAUGACACUCAAUGGGGGCAGUUUUUGUUGAGUUAUUUUUCAGUCCUAUCUGACUCUUUAUGAUCCCAUGUGGAGUUUUCUUGAAUACUAAAGUGGUUUGCCAUUUCCUUCUCCAACUCAUUUUACAGAUGAGGAACUGAAGCAAACAGAGUUUGCCCAGGGUCACACAGCUAGUAAAUGUCCGAGACCAGAUUUGAACUCAUAAAAUGAGUGUUCCCGAGUUCAGGCCUGUCACUUUAUCGACUAUGCCAUCUAGCUGCCCCUUCAUGGAAGUAAAGAAGUUAAAAUAAGCAAGAGCUUAAUAAUAUUUGUUGUCAGUCAAGUUAGGGAGACUGAUAAAGCUCUAUAAAAUGGCCAGAUUUGACUGGUAAUUAAAUAGGAGUAAUUUCUUUGUCUCAGCAGAAGUCAGAUUUUUAAUUACCAGUAGAUGAAGUGUGUCUUUUGAUGACUUGCUGGGGAAAGGUGAGAAAAAGUCCAAUAAUUUCUUAUUUCUGCUUAAAGAAUUUUAGAUUAAAACAUGAUCCUUAUGCAGCUGCCAUCAGACUUUUAGAGAAGGCUUCAAAAGUUAUUUUGCAAGGUUUCCUUAUGGACAUACUGAGAAUAUUGCAUAUUGGAAAUGAACAGGAAAAUGCCACGGGGGAGGGUUAGGUGUGUAAGUUUUAUUUUCACUUUUACUGGUUGUUUACUUAAAAAAUUUGGGAUUAAUCUUCAUUACAGCAGUCAAUCAAGCCGGAGUUUGUUAGCUAUUCAAACUCAAAUAAGCUCUUUGUUCCUAGGCAAACUUAAAAGAGAAUUGGUUUAUAAACCAAAGUACAAAUUUAAAUUUUUCAUCAUUCUUUGCCUUUGCUGGAGGAACCAUAUUUUGAUGUGUACCAAUUUUUGUUCUAAGCAGAAUAGGUUUAUGUAAAGGAUCUUUACAUCCAAGAUCUCUGGGUGGCUUCUGAUUUAUCGCUCAGCUUAGUUAUUAUGUGUUUUAAUCUGACAAAUUUUUUCCAAGCAAUAAAUAUAGAAAAUAUGUCAAAUAUUUCAAAGCAAUUAUUUGAUAAUUUCCUGCAAUGUCUGAAAACAAUUUAUCAAAUUGUUUAUUUAUUUGAUAAAUUUAUCAAAGUACAUUUUUUCAGUUAAAUUUACAAAUUUUUCAGCUCACAGCAAGUUUUUAAAUUAUUUAAAGCAAGUCCGUUUAAUCUAUUUUUUUUUUCUUCAGCAUCAAACAUCCACAUGUUCUAUUCAGUUCAUUGUAUGACCUUGGGCAAAUUGCUUAAUUUGGUUUCUUCUGUAAAAUGAAGGGAUUGGAAUAGAGGAACUUAAGUUUUUCUAUUUGUUUUCUAGUAAAGAGUGAAAUUGUAGAAUAUCUGUUGCAACUCCACAAAAUCUUCAUGAUUUUUUUGAGAAAUUUGCCCCUAUACUGGUUAUUAUAUCACUGAUAACAUUCAUUGAUCUCUAGAUAGAACUUUUUCUUUCUUUCUGCAGUUACUUAACUGCUUAUACUUCUUUAGAGGAAUAAAGCUGAAGACAUUCAGAGGGAAAGAAUUUUAUGAAUGAUUGAAAACAUGUAUUUUCACCCUUAUGUGGAUUCUCUAUUUUGAGCCUCAAUCACCAUUAAAUCUAGAAGAAUACAACUAGCCAGCUGGUACGGCUCCAGUUCACCAUCUUUCACAAGGAUGGAGAUCUACCUGGAGAACCAACAACCCAGCAUGCUGAUUUUACCUGGGGGGGGUGAGGGGGGGGUGGUGUUAAGGUGAGAACUGAAAUGAAAUUCAAUGGCAUUUGGGAGCAAGUGAAAGAAUGAAUGUAAGCUUUUUAAAAUUUAAACAUUUAAUUUGCCUUCUGCCCUAAUUAGUUACAGGCAGCCAGAUGUUUUAAAUAUGUUGACCUUUAUACUGGCAAAAGCUAAAACGUUUGGUAUAAUCUUUUGCAGUUACUAGUGUUUGCAAAACAAAAAGUGGGGUAAGGGAGAGGGAAAAGAGGAUGGGUGAGUUAAAAUUCUUGGUUUUCAUAUGUGUGUGAUGAUUGGGGUAGGAGGGUAUACAGGUAAGAUCCAGUAAUUAUUUUUAAAAUAAGUUUAUUUUUUAAUUUUAGACAUAUACACACUUUUAGCUUAGUAAUGGGAAGCCUAAUAUAUUGAUUUAUGGGAUUAUUUGAAGAUUUGUCUUAAUUUGUACUUUUAGAUUAAAAUUUUUCUGCUUUUUCAAUCCCCAGUUUUGCAAUUUAGACUAAAUCCAAAGUAAGAAAGACAUUAAUUUACAGAAGAAGCUGCAGUAGGAUCUAAAGAAUACAGGUGCUUAAUAUGUACUUUCUACAUAUUUAAUUAGUUCACCAAUGUUGAGUUUCUUUAAAUCUGCAUGAUUGAGUAC
Molecule: long non-coding RNA, 5203 nt
Filed under: Sarcophilus harrisii (Tasmanian devil)
Lineage: Eukaryota; Metazoa; Chordata; Mammalia; Dasyuromorphia; Dasyuridae
Description: lncRNA (ENSSHAG00000031710.1)
Source: RNAcentral